UACGUAGGGUGCGAGCGUCGUCCGGAAUUAUUGGGCGUAAAGGGCUCGUAGGCGGUCUGUUGCGUCAGGAGUGAAAACUCGGGGCUUAACCCCGAGCCUGCUUCUGAUACGGGCAGACUAGAGGUAUGCAGGGGAGAACGGAAUUCCUGGUGUAGCGGUGAAAUGCGCAGAUAUCAGGAGGAACACCGGUGGCGAAGGCGGUUCUCUGGGCAUUACCUGACGCUGAGGAGCGAAAGUGUGGGGAGCGAACAGG
Molecule: ribosomal RNA, 253 nt
Filed under: uncultured bacterium
Lineage: Bacteria
Description: partial 16S ribosomal RNA
Rfam family: Bacterial small subunit ribosomal RNA
Source: RNAcentral